GUCGUUAAUUUGGGGGGGCAUCGCACUUUUGGGCUGUGUCAGAAUUUGGGGGGGGGGCGCGAUUUAGAUCUAUAAUUUUUUUGGGGGGGAAUUUUCGGAGUUUGGCCGAAUUUGGGGGGGGGGAAGGGGGAGUGGGGUCCCGUUUGAGGCAAAGAAUUUUUGGGGGGCGCCGCUAAAUUUUUAAAUUUUUUUGGAUUAUUUUGGGUGAAACCCCCCCGAUUUUCCCAAAGGGGGGGUGGGGACACAAUUUGGGGAGGGGGAUCCCCACCCCCCGCCCCCCCCCCAAAGUCGGGGUGGCACAAGCCCGAACUUGUCCGGGGCGGGGCGGGGCGGUGACGUCACGGUUGGGCGGUGACGUCACGGGUGGGCGUGGCGCGCUCCGCCGGUGCCGAUCGCGCCCGUCCCGAGCGGUUCAUGCGGCUCCAGCCCCCCGGGAGCGAUGGCCAGACCGCUGCGGGAAGGGACCCUCGGGGAGCCCCCAGCCCCCCUCCCCUCGCACCCCUCCUGUGGGGGGGGCGGGGGGCGCCCCCCCACGCGCGACCCCCGCCCCUCCCCCACGCGCCUCAACUGCGGGGACCCCCCCCCCGCGACCCCCCCGGACUUUGGGAUCUACGGGUGGGGAGCGCACGGUGAUUUCGGCCCCUCGGAGCCCCCGGGGACCCCCCAAAUUGGGGGGGGUCCCGUCCCCAACGGGCGCCUGCCCGGACCCCCCCCCGGGCCGGAGCAGAUUUUGGGGGCGCGGCUGCGGCUCCUCGGGGACGCCUUCCAGCACAGCCACGAGCGGCAGCGCCGCGGGCUGUUCUGGGGGCCGCUCCUCCGCUGGGUGGCGCCCUGGCUCGGCAACGCGCCCGCAGCGCCCCUGGCGGCCAGAGGCGGGAACUGACCUGCGGAACACCUGGAAAACACCUGGAAAACCGCUGGAAAACACCUGGAAAACACCUGGAAAACUCAGACACACCUGGAGGAACCCGCGCGACGCUGACAGGACAGCGGGGAAAGCGACGCGACCCCGAUUUAAAGCGAACACGCAAAGCACAACCCCCCCCCCCAAAUGGGAGUUGGUAGCGCCCGACCCCCCAUUUGGUUUUAUUUAUUUGGGGUAA
Molecule: long non-coding RNA, 1103 nt
Filed under: Taeniopygia guttata (zebra finch)
Lineage: Eukaryota; Metazoa; Chordata; Aves; Passeriformes; Estrildidae
Description: lncRNA (ENSTGUG00000023524.1)
Source: RNAcentral